RNAcentral lists this ribosomal RNA (390 nucleotides) under uncultured bacterium. RNAcentral's name for it is "bacterial SSU rRNA". It matches the Rfam family "Bacterial small subunit ribosomal RNA", at positions 28 to 417 of the family's 1533-position model. The record is from RNAcentral.
GACGAACGCUGGCGGCGUGCUUAACACAUGCAAGUCGAGCGGUAACGCCCUUUCGGGGGUACGACGAGCGGCGAACGGGUGAGUAACACGUGGGUGACCUGCCCUCAGCUCUGGGAUAAGCCUGGGAAACCGGGUCUAAUACUGGAUAUGACUCCAUGACGCAUGUUGUGGGGUGGAAAGCCUUGUGCGGCUGAGGAUGGGCCCGCGGCCUAUCAGCUUGUUGGUGGGGUGANGGCCUACCAAGGCGACGACGGGUAGCCGGCCUGAGAGGGCGACCGGCCACGCUGGGACUGAGACACGGCCCAGACUCCUACGGGAGGCAGCAGGUGGGGAAUCUUGCGCAAUGGGCGAAAGCCUGACGCAGCGACGCCGCGUGAGGGAUGACGGCCU